Molecule: ribosomal RNA, 494 nt
Filed under: Pseudoalteromonas sp. R5-Lam-T25-16
Lineage: Bacteria; Pseudomonadati; Pseudomonadota; Gammaproteobacteria; Alteromonadales; Pseudoalteromonadaceae
Description: bacterial SSU rRNA
Rfam family: Bacterial small subunit ribosomal RNA
Source: RNAcentral
UGUGAGUUUGAUCCUGGCUCAGAUUGAACGCUGGCGGCAGGCCUAACACAUGCAAGUCGAGCGGUAACAUUUCUAGCUUGCUAGAAGAUGACGAGCGGCGGACGGGUGAGUAAUGCUUGGGAACAUGCCUUGAGGUGGGGGACAACAGUUGGAAACGACUGCUAAUACCGCAUAAUGUCUACGGACCAAAGGGGGCUUCGGCUCUCGCCUUUAGAUUGGCCCAAGUGGGAUUAGCUAGUUGGUGAGGUAAUGGCUCACCAAGGCGACGAUCCCUAGCUGGUUUGAGAGGAUGAUCAGCCACACUGGGACUGAGACACGGCCCAGACUCCUACGGGAGGCAGCAGUGGGGAAUAUUGCACAAUGGGCGCAAGCCUGAUGCAGCCAUGCCGCGUGUGUGAAGAAGGCCUUCGGGUUGUAAAGCACUUUCAGUCAGGAGGAAAGGUUAGUAGUUAAUACCUGCUAGCUGUGACGUACGACAGAAGAGCCCGAUCCCC